CAUGGUUAAGUGGGAAACGAUGUGGGAAGGCCCAGACAGCCAGGAUGUUGGCUUAGAAGCAGCCAUCAUUUAAAGAAAGCGUAAUAGCUCACUGGUCGAGUCGGCCUGCGCGGAAGAUGUAACGGGGCUAAACCAUGCACCGAAGCUGCGGCAGCGACGCUUAUGCGUUGUUGGGUAGGGGAGCGUUCUGUAAGCCUGUGAAGGUGUGCUGUGAGGUAUGCUGGAGGUAUCAGAAGUGCGAAUGCUGACAUAAGUAACGAUAAAGCGGGUGAAAAGCCCGCUCGCCGGAAGACCAAGGGUUCCUGUCCAACGUUAAUCGGGGCAGGGUGAGUCGACCCCUAAGGCGAGGCCGAAAGGCGUAGUCGAUGGGAAACAGGUUAAUAUUCCUGUACUUGGUGUUACUGCGAAGGGGGGACGGAGAAGGCUAUGUUGGCCGGGCG
Molecule: ribosomal RNA, 440 nt
Filed under: Shigella flexneri
Lineage: Bacteria; Pseudomonadati; Pseudomonadota; Gammaproteobacteria; Enterobacterales; Enterobacteriaceae
Description: partial 23S ribosomal RNA
Rfam family: Bacterial large subunit ribosomal RNA
Source: RNAcentral